UUUAUUUCUUUACAGUGAUGAUUCUCAAUUAACUAUAGAGAUAGAGUGAAAGUUAUGAAUCAAGUGCCAUUUUUAAAAGAUAUCAUUAUGAAGAAAGAAGAUAAGAGCUUUUUUUUACAUAGUUUACAAGUCAAAAAUUUUCAAAAAAACUUCAUUCAUUUCAUGCUUUGUGGGUCUGUGCAAUUUGAAUUUAGUAUAAAUAAAAUGUUGUUUUCUGUC
Stegodyphus dumicola is the source of this 219-nucleotide long non-coding RNA. The record is from RefSeq and is a predicted model, not a curated record. NCBI's taxonomy places the organism in Eukaryota, Metazoa, Arthropoda, Arachnida, Araneae, Eresidae.